Dermacentor andersoni is the source of this 279-nucleotide long non-coding RNA. RefSeq lists it as uncharacterized. Lineage: Eukaryota; Metazoa; Arthropoda; Arachnida; Ixodida; Ixodidae. The record is from RefSeq and is a predicted model, not a curated record.
ACGGACGGGACGGCAGCGCGUUGCGCGUUCCCCCGAGGAACGGGCAGCGUUCGACGAGCGGUGGCGAGAACUCGCCCGUGGAAGGGCUCGUCGUCGGCGCACCGAUCCAGCCAUUAGAGCCGCGCGAGUCCCGGAAAUCCGACAGCAACGAGAAGAAGAUACCGAGCUGAGGGACCGGCAGACCGAAGUACUUUGACAGAGGAAUGCACCUAUUCAUUCGAAGGUAUUUCUACGAGCCCGUGGUAGGCAGCCGCAAGGGCGCUGGGUGGUUACUGCUGG